This 786-nucleotide ribosomal RNA is filed under the name Bacillus aerius. RNAcentral's name for it is "bacterial SSU rRNA". It matches the Rfam family "Bacterial small subunit ribosomal RNA", at positions 46 to 819 of the family's 1533-position model. The record is from RNAcentral. Lineage: Bacteria; Bacillati; Bacillota; Bacilli; Caryophanales; Bacillaceae.
GCUAUAAUGCAGUCGAGCGGACAGAAGGGAGCUUGCUCCCGGAUGUUAGCGGCGGACGGGUGAGUAACACGUGGGUAACCUGCCUGUAAGACUGGGAUAACUCCGGGAAACCGGAGCUAAUACCGGAUAGUUCCUUGAACCGCAUGGUUCAAGGAUGAAAGACGGUUUCGGCUGUCACUUACAGAUGGACCCGCGGCGCAUUAGCUAGUUGGUGAGGUAACGGCUCACCAAGGCGACGAUGCGUAGCCGACCUGAGAGGGUGAUCGGCCACACUGGGACUGAGACACGGCCCAGACUCCUACGGGAGGCAGCAGUAGGGAAUCUUCCGCAAUGGACGAAAGUCUGACGGAGCAACGCCGCGUGAGUGAUGAAGGUUUUCGGAUCGUAAAGCUCUGUUGUUAGGGAAGAACAAGUGCAAGAGUAACUGCUUGCACCUUGACGGUACCUAACCAGAAAGCCACGGCUAACUACGUGCCAGCAGCCGCGGUAAUACGUAGGUGGCAAGCGUUGUCCGGAAUUAUUGGGCGUAAAGGGCUCGCAGGCGGUUUCUUAAGUCUGAUGUGAAAGCCCCCGGCUCAACCGGGGAGGGUCAUUGGAAACUGGGAAACUUGAGUGCAGAAGAGGAGAGUGGAAUUCCACGUGUAGCGGUGAAAUGCGUAGAGAUGUGGAGGAACACCAGUGGCGAAGGCGACUCUCUGGUCUGUAACUGACGCUGAGGAGCGAAAGCGUGGGGAGCGAACAGGAUUAGAUACCCUGGUAGUCCACGCCGUAAACGAUGAGUGCUAA